Non-coding RNA from Myotis davidii, 75 nucleotides. NCBI's taxonomy places the organism in Eukaryota, Metazoa, Chordata, Mammalia, Chiroptera, Vespertilionidae. The record is from Rfam.
GGUGGUUCUUGGGUGACGCACCCCAGAAUCGGGCUCUAUCCUCUCUGGUUCCAGGAGCAUCACCUGAGAACCACU